CUUUUAAAGGAUAAUAGUAAUCCAUUGAUUUUAGGAACCAAACAUUCCUGGUGCAAUUCCAAGUAAAAGC
RNAcentral lists this transfer RNA (70 nucleotides) under Neurergus kaiseri (Luristan newt). RNAcentral describes it as "tRNA-Leu". It matches the Rfam family "tRNA". Rfam says of the family: Transfer RNA (tRNA) molecules are approximately 80 nucleotides in length. Their secondary structure includes four short double-helical elements and three loops (D, anti-codon, and T loops). The record is from RNAcentral. Lineage: Eukaryota; Metazoa; Chordata; Amphibia; Caudata; Salamandridae.